CCUACGGGUGGCAGCAGUGAGGAAUAUUGGUCAAUGGACGCGAGUCUGAACCAGCCAAGUAGCGUGAAGGAUGACUGCCCUAUGGGUUGUAAACUUCUUUUAUAUAGGAAUAAAAUGUUCCACGUGUGGGUUUUUGUAUGUACCAUAUGAAUAAGGAUCGGCUAACUCCGUGCCAGCAGCCGCGGUAAUACGGAGGAUCCGAGCGUUAUCCGGAUUUAUUGGGUUUAAAGGGAGCGUAGGUGGAUUGUUAAGUCAGUUGUGAAAGUUUGCGGCUCAACCGUAAAAUUGCAGUUGAAACUGGCAGUCUUGAGUACAGUAGAGGUGGGCGGAAUUCGUGGUGUAGCGGUGAAAUGCUUAGAUAUCACGAAGAACUCCGAUUGCGAAGGCAGCUCACUGGACUGCAACUGACACUGAUGCUCGAAAGUGUGGGUAUCAAACAGGAUUAGAUACCCCUGUAGUC
This 460-nucleotide ribosomal RNA is filed under the name uncultured bacterium. RNAcentral's name for it is "partial 16S ribosomal RNA". It matches the Rfam family "Bacterial small subunit ribosomal RNA", at positions 338 to 795 of the family's 1533-position model. The record is from RNAcentral.